AUUGGUUCACGAACUCAAGUGAUGAAAAAGGGAAUCGGGUGGAACUCCCGAGCAGUCCCGCUGCUGUGAGUCGUCCUUCCAUGCGCCAACAACAAGCCACUGGUUCCCUUGCCGGGAAGGCGUUGGCACACGACGACAAGCCAGAAUACCUGCCAUUGCAC
RNAcentral lists this non-coding RNA (161 nucleotides) under uncultured Prevotella sp. Lineage: Bacteria; Pseudomonadati; Bacteroidota; Bacteroidia; Bacteroidales; Prevotellaceae. The record is from RNAcentral.